Astatotilapia calliptera (eastern happy) is the source of this 1483-nucleotide long non-coding RNA. NCBI's taxonomy places the organism in Eukaryota, Metazoa, Chordata, Actinopteri, Cichliformes, Cichlidae. The record is from Ensembl.
UCACAGUGCAAUGCAAACUCUGCUUGCCAGCGAAGAAGAUGCUCUCUGCGUCAAAAGACUCCACCUCCAACCUAAGAAAACAUCUGAAAGUAAGUUAUUUUAAAAAAACUAAAGUUAACAUACUGCAAAUAUUUUAUUUUAGUUGUGGUAGCUACCUAGGCUAUGUGCCACUUCAGUAGCUUCGAUAUAAUAUUGCUGUGAUUUUAGCUAACAUUGUUAGCUGGCAUUAGCUAACGUUAGUUCAUAGACGGGUAAACUUGAUGGAUAGCAUUAACGAGCUCUAAAUUAUGGUGUGCAGUUGUGAAAGCCAUCCCAAAAUGAUUAACAGUAGGGUGGACAUUAAGGUUGGGCGAGAUUAAAAAUUUUUCCAACCGACAAUCGUCAGUCAAACGAUAACCAACAUAAUCGUGCAGGUGACUUGUUAAUGGGCGGAGCAAUGUAAUAAUGCACGGACUGAUUUGCGCAUUUAGAACAUAAAUAGAAAGUUUAGUUUGGGGGGGAUAUUUUUUCUUUUUUUUUUGUUGGAGUUUCUGUAUUAACAUAGCUACUUUUUGGAUUAUUCCUUUAUUUAUUCGAGAUGCACCAAAUUGCACAAAAAACAUAACUUUACCUCUGAUAUUUUUUUAUGGUCGCUGGAAGUGACAUUUUGGUUUUUAACUUAUUUGUUUUUUGGUCGAGUAUCUAAGACAUAAACACUGGAACACAGUUAAAGUGGAAAAAGAAGUCAGUUUCUUGGUAUCCCUCCCCACCAUUGUGGUUUGUUUAUUUAAAUUAAAUGUUGUUUUUUUUUCUGAAGAUAGACUACUGCUUUUCUUUCAUUCUGUUAUGAGUUUGAGUAAAUGAAUCGCUGCAUUUGUUUAUGCCGUUAAAACACCGCUAUUAUAUUUUCCAUUGACUGCUUCUCUUACCUUCAACCAACAUUAUUAUUAUUAUUAUACUUACUCAUGGGCAAAAAAAAAUUAAAAAAUUCCUCUUGUAAAAACCAUUGGCGAAAGGCUCAACUUAUUGUUGAUAGUCGAGAUAUUCGUCCAGUUGCCCAACCUUUUUGCAGUGAUCUCAAAUACAAAACAAUUUCUUCAUCAGUAAUAUUUUAUUUUUUGGUUGGUCUCUCUCUCUUUUUUUUUUUUUCCAGAGGAUGCAUCCCAGGGUUAUACACAGUUUACCCAAAGCAAAUACAUCGGAUCAUGUUGAUGAUGGCAAAGACACAGCCCCUCCUCCUCUCAAACAAGCCAUCCUUAGCACUCCAGCCAUCACCCAAAGGAGAGUAAAUUCCUUGAUAUUUGACUUCAUAGUCAAUGAAGUGCAGCCCUUUUCUACCGUUGAGAACACCUCAUUCCGUAAGAUGGUUGAAGGACUAAGUGGGGGCAGGAGUCCUGUUUGCAGAAAAACAUUGAUGACUCACAUUGAGAAAACCUUUCCAAAAAUGAAGGAAGCAAUAACUGAAAUUCUUCUACAUACUCAAAAUGUGUGCACAACAGCAGAU